AGAGUUUGAUCCUGGCUCAGAAUCAACGCUGGCGGCGUGCCUAACACAUGCAAGUCGAACGCGAACGCCCCGAAAGGGGCAAGUAGAGUGGCAAACGGGUGAGUAAUACGUGGGUGACCUGCCUUCGAGUGGGGGAUAACGUCUCGAAAGGGACGCUAAUACCGCAUGACAUCCUGCCUUUGAACAGGUGGAGAUCAAAGUCGGGGUCGCAAGACCUGACGCUUGAAGAGGGGCCCACGUCCGAUUAGCUAGUUGGUGAGGUAACGGCCCACCAAGGCGACGAUCGGUAGCCGGCCUAAAGAGGGCGGACGGCCACACUGGGGACUGAGACACGGCCCAGAACUCCUUACGGGGAGGGCAGCAGUGGGGGAAUUUGUUUCGCAAAUGGGCGCGAGCCCUGACGACCCAACCGCCGCCGUGGAAGGAAGGAAAAACCUUCCGGUCCGUAAACUCCUGGGCCAAGGGGGACCAAUGAACCGCCACCCUUAUAAGUCGUGGAAGUGGAAGGUACCGCUUGAGGGAAGCCCCCGCUAAAUUCCUGGCCGCAGCCGCGGUUAUUACCGGGGGGGGGCAAACGUUGUUCCGAAUUUACUGGGGGGAAAGGGGUCCCAAGCCGGCUCACUUAAUCAGAAGUGAAAUCCCCUCGGCUUAACACGAGGAACUGCUUCCGUGACUGGAUGCGCUCGGGACUCGGGGAGAAGUGAUGCGUACCUUCCAGCUGUAGCGGUGAGAUGCGUUGAGUAUUCCGGAGUAACACUCUGGCGGCGGAGAGCCGGCCAUGCCUGCUACUGCCACUGACGGUGAGGAGCGACACGCCAGGGGGCAGCUAAGCGGCGAUGUAGUUACCUCCCGCAGUAGUCCGUGCGCCUUAAAACGAUGAAUUGACUUGGGUGUGGGCGGGUUCAUCGAUCAAUCCCAUGCCGCGUGUCUAGGAAGGCUAAUCGCUAUUACGGCAUUCCCGCGUGGGAGGAGUACCGGGUCGCCAGGGCUUGAAUCUCAGAGGGAAUUGCACGGGGGGCCCCCCACAAGGCGGGUGGGAGCCAUUGUGUUUCAUUUUGGCCGCACCCGCGGAAAGACCCUUUACCCCAGGCUUGAACCAGGCGAGGUGCCCACUCUCAGGAAAGUGGAGUUUCCCCCACGGACCCUUUGGUGAAGGUGCUGGCAUGGCCUGUUCGUUCAGGCUCGUGGUCGUGGAGAUGUUGGGGUUAGGGUCCCGCAACGGAGCCGCCAACCCUUGUCCCUCUGUUGCCCAUCACGGUUAUGGGUGGGGCACUCCUGAGGAGACUGCCCGGUGAUAAACCGGAGGGAAGGUGGGGAUGACGUCAAGUCAGCAUGGCCUUUAUGUCUGGGGCUACACACGUGCUACAAUGGCCGGUACAAACCGUCGCGAUCCCGCGAGGGGGAGCUAAUCGGAAAAAGCCGGUCUCAGUUCGGAUUGCAGGCUGCAACUCGCCUGCAUGAAGUUGGAAUCGCUAGUAAUCGCGGAUCAGCACGCCGCGGUGAAUACGUUCCCGGGCCUUGUACACACCGCCCGUCACAUCACGAAAGCCGGCUGUACUAGAAGUCGCUGCGCCAACCCGCAAGGGAGGUAAGUGCCUAAGGUAUGGUCGGUGAUUGGGGUGAAGUCGUAACAAGGUAACC
RNAcentral lists this ribosomal RNA (1641 nucleotides) under uncultured bacterium. RNAcentral's name for it is "partial 16S ribosomal RNA". It matches the Rfam family "Bacterial small subunit ribosomal RNA". The record is from RNAcentral.